This 555-nucleotide ribosomal RNA is filed under the name uncultured bacterium. RNAcentral describes it as "partial 16S ribosomal RNA". It matches the Rfam family "Bacterial small subunit ribosomal RNA", at positions 355 to 901 of the family's 1533-position model. The record is from RNAcentral.
UAGGGAAUCUUCGGCAAUGGGGGCAACCCUGACCGAGCAACGCCGCGUGAGUGAAGAAGGUUUUCGGAUCGUAAAGCUCUGUUGUAAGUCAAGAACGGGUGUGAGAGUGGAAAGUUCACACUGUGACGGUAGCUUACCAGAAAGGGACGGCUAACUACGUGCCAGCAGCCGCGGUAAUACGUAGGUCCCGAGCGUUGUCCGGAUUUAUUGGGCGUAAAGCGAGCGCAGGCGGUUUGAUAAGUCUGAAGUUAAAGGCUGUGGCUCAACCAUAGUUCGCUUUGGAAACUGUCAAACUUGAGUGCAGAAGGGGAGAGUGGAAUUCCAUGUGUAGCGGUGAAAUGCGUAGAUAUAUGGAGGAACACCGGUGGCGAAAGCGGCUCUCUGGUCUGUAACUGACGCUGAGGCUCGAAAGCGUGGGGAGCGAACAGGAUUAGAUACCCUGGUAGUCCACGCCGUAAACGAUGAAUGCUAGGUGUUGGAUCCUUUCCGGGAUUCAGUGCCGCAGCUAACGCAUUAAGCACUCCGCCUGGGGAGUACGACCGCAAGGUUGAAACG